UAGAACUCAAAGCAGUGGCCUCUUUCUCCUA
RNAcentral lists this non-coding RNA (31 nucleotides) under Rattus norvegicus (Norway rat). Lineage: Eukaryota; Metazoa; Chordata; Mammalia; Rodentia; Muridae. The record is from RNAcentral.